UACGAAGGGUGCAAGCGUUACUCGGAAUUACUGGGCGUAAAGCGUGCGCAGGCGGUUUGCUAAGACAGGUGUGAAAUCCCCCGGGCUUAACCUGGGAACUGCGCUUGUUACUGGCAGGCUUGAGUGUGGCAGAGGGGGGUGGAAUCCACGUGUAGCAGGUGAAAUGCGUAGAGAUGUGGAGAACACCGAUGGCGAAGGGCAGCCCCCUGGGCUGAACACGAUGACGCCUC
RNAcentral lists this ribosomal RNA (230 nucleotides) under uncultured bacterium. Its description in RNAcentral is "partial 16S ribosomal RNA". It matches the Rfam family "Bacterial small subunit ribosomal RNA", at positions 524 to 749 of the family's 1533-position model. The record is from RNAcentral.